AUUUUCCCUAAGAAACUGCCAGAGAAGCCACCCACUGUGCCUAUUGGCUUUGAUUUUGAAAUAGAGAGAAGAAUCAAACAGCGAGAAGCAAAGAGGGACUCCUGCCUUGGUUUGGAAGAAGAGAACCCAAACCAACCCUAGGACGAGGACGAGGAGUAGCCAGGAGUGAUAAGAACCCAACAAUGGCCCCAGAUGGAGGAACUUUUAAGCCCAAAUCUGGAGAAGAACAUGAAGAACGCGGCUCAGGCUGAGCCUUCUGCGUGGAGCCUGGCAGAAGAGGCGCCUGAAGGCACAGACUUGGGUUCUCUCCGCUCCUCCGGGGUGACGGGGCAGCUCCCUUCAGGCUGCGUCUGCAGCCGAGCCUGGGGCUGGCGCGCCCGGAGCUCUCGGCGGUGCCCGCGCAGUCAAGGGUCGCUCACUGACGGAGUCUGUGGCUUCCACCCUCCUCCUCCGUUCUAUAUGUGAGUCAGAAUAUAUAGUUGAUUUGGUUUGUAAUUUACUCACUUGAAGUGUAAUUUUUACGGCUUUAUCCUUCACUUUUUGUAUUUGUAUUUAAAAAUAAAGAUACUUGAUUUAGUUUACA
Long non-coding RNA from Bos taurus (domestic cattle), 583 nucleotides. NCBI's taxonomy places the organism in Eukaryota, Metazoa, Chordata, Mammalia, Artiodactyla, Bovidae. The record is from Ensembl.